AAAACUUUCAACAACGGAUCUCUUGGUUCCGGCAUCGAUGAAGAACGCAGCGAAAUGCGAUAAUUAAUGUGAAUUGCAGAAUUCAGUGAAUCAUCGAGUCUUUGAACGCACAUUGCGCCCCCUGGUAUUCCGGGGGGCAUGCCUGUCCGAGCGUCAUUGC
This 160-nucleotide ribosomal RNA is filed under the name Penicillium sclerotiorum. Its description in RNAcentral is "5.8S ribosomal RNA". It matches the Rfam family "5.8S ribosomal RNA". From Rfam's summary of the family: 5.8S ribosomal RNA (5.8S rRNA) is a component of the large subunit of the eukaryotic ribosome. It is transcribed by RNA polymerase I as part of the 45S precursor that also contains 18S and 28S rRNA. Lineage: Eukaryota; Fungi; Ascomycota; Eurotiomycetes; Eurotiales; Aspergillaceae. The record is from RNAcentral.